Molecule: ribosomal RNA, 633 nt
Filed under: Triticum aestivum (bread wheat)
Lineage: Eukaryota; Viridiplantae; Streptophyta; Magnoliopsida; Poales; Poaceae
Description: partial small subunit ribosomal RNA
Source: RNAcentral
AUGGCCGACGCCGCCGCGCUCGUCGCCGUGCCGCCGACGCCGCAGCAGCGGCACCCGCUGAGCCAGAUCGCGGCGAGCGGGACGCACCGGCUGCUGCUCAAGCAGUGGCUCAAGGAGGAGGACCUGCUGGCGCGCCGCGUCGCGCUGCGGGAGGCCCGCCUCGACGGCGCGCGCAAGGAGAUCGCCUUCCUCUACUGCGCCUUCUUCGCCUUCCACGCCGCCUCCGUCCUCGUCCUCUUCCUCUCCGCCUCCAUCCCCUCCCCCGGCCCGUACUCCUCCUCCUGCCGCCGCUCCUGGAUCCCCUGCCUCGUCUCGCUGCUCGCCUCCCUGGCCAUGCUCUGGGCGCUGCGGUACAAGGCGGACACGGAGGCCGUGCUGGAGCGGGUGCUGGCGCGGGAGCAGGAGGACGCCGCGCUGCUCGGGCGCUGCGUCGCCGAGCUCAAGCGCAAGGGGCUCGAGUUCGACCUGCUCAAGGAGGUGGACGCGCUGCGCAGGGCCAAGGCCCUCCGCGUCGAGGCCAAGGCCGGCGCCGACGGGCCCAGGCGCUGGCCCGCCAGGGACCUCCCCGUCUUCGCCCUCUUCGGCGCGGCAUGCGGCGUCCUCGUGCUCACCAGGUUCCUGCUCUGCAACUAA